UACGGAGGGGGCUAGCGUUGUUCGGAAUUACUGGGCGUAAAGCGCACGUAGGCGGCUUUGUAAGUUAGAGGUGAAAGCCCAGGGCUUAACCCUGGAAUUGCCUUUAAGACUGCAUCGCUAGAAUCGUGGAGAGGUGAGUGGAAUCCCGAGUGUAGAGGUGAAAUUCGUAGGUAUUCGGAAGAACACCAGUGGCGAAGGCGACUCAAUGGACACGUAUUGACGCUGAGGUGCGAAAGCGUGGGGAGCAAACAGG
This 253-nucleotide ribosomal RNA is filed under the name uncultured bacterium. Its description in RNAcentral is "partial 16S ribosomal RNA". It matches the Rfam family "Bacterial small subunit ribosomal RNA", at positions 524 to 776 of the family's 1533-position model. The record is from RNAcentral.